Molecule: transfer RNA, 74 nt
Filed under: Candidatus Omnitrophota bacterium
Lineage: Bacteria; Pseudomonadati; Candidatus Omnitrophota
Description: tRNA-Val
Rfam family: tRNA
About the family: Transfer RNA (tRNA) molecules are approximately 80 nucleotides in length. Their secondary structure includes four short double-helical elements and three loops (D, anti-codon, and T loops).
Source: RNAcentral
GGGCGGUUAGCUCAGUUGGUUAGAGCGCUACGUUGACAUCGUAGAGGCCAGAGGUUCAAGUCCUCUACCGCCCA